RNAcentral lists this ribosomal RNA (254 nucleotides) under uncultured bacterium. RNAcentral's name for it is "partial 16S ribosomal RNA". It matches the Rfam family "Bacterial small subunit ribosomal RNA", at positions 524 to 776 of the family's 1533-position model. The record is from RNAcentral.
CACGUAGGGACCAAGCGUUGUCCGGAUUCAUUGGGCGUAAAGAGCUCGUAGGCGGUUCAGUAAGUCGGGUGUGAAACCUCCAGGCUCAACCUGGAGACGCCACCCGAUACUGCUGUGACUAGAGUCCAGUAGGGGAGCGUGGAAUUCCUGGUGUAGCGGUGAAAUGCGCAGAUAUCGGGAAGAACACCCGUGGCGAAGGCGGCUCUCUGGGACGGUACUGACGCUGAGACGCGAAAGCGUGGGGAGCGAACAGG